Molecule: long non-coding RNA, 1377 nt
Organism: Ornithorhynchus anatinus (platypus)
Lineage: Eukaryota; Metazoa; Chordata; Mammalia; Monotremata; Ornithorhynchidae
Exons: 3
Source: RefSeq, a predicted model, not a curated record
CCUUCCUGCGCAGGAAGUUCAGCAGGUCUCCGUGGCAACAGUACUCGGUGAUGACCAGGACUGGGCCUAGAGGACGUGUGCGGGGCCAGGAGCAAGAGGAGCAGCAGGGAGAGGAGGACCAUGAUCGCGACGCAGGUGAAGAGGACCGGCGUGAAGAAGGGGUCCUCAGCGGGCUUGAAGGAUUCAACUACAGGAGAUGGAGGGGAGGUGGUGAGCAGGGGACUGGGAACCCCUCUCCCCCUUGAGGAUCCGGAACUCACUCUGCCCUGCCCCGUUCCCGGACCCUCGGCUCGAGUCCCCGCUUCCCCCUAACGCUCUUGUGAGGUUACAGGGACGGCUCAGGGCCGGGGAGACCGGCCAGGCCACGGGGCUGCUCGUGGGGCGGGGGGGGGGGGUACGGCCCAAACGGUGAAGACUGGUCCCGUGUGGUGAGCCCUCAGGGCCCUAGGGGCGUGACUGCUGCCUGGUUUUGGGGUCCCACUCCCCCUCGCCCCCUCGGCGGGGCAACCGGCCAGGAACGAGGAUGCCCGUUUCCCCGGCACCGGACCUGACCGCCUCGGUUACCCGGGGGAGACGCAGUUUGAGAGGGGCCUGCCGCCUCCCGGGUUGGACAAGACCCAUCCCCGCUCACACCCUCCGUAGAGGGGACGGCAGGGAGGGCCCAGGAUGGAGAACCAAAACACCAGUUCCAGUGGCCCGGCAGAGUUUACCAGCCAAGCGGCUCCUUAUCCGGAUCUUCUGAGGCUAAACUUGAGGAUAACUGAUGUGAAAACUGGUUGGAAAAAAUGAAAGUGGUUGGCAAAAGGCGAGAUAUCCUGUAUCUUUCGGUAAAUGUCCAGGCCGCGGGAUGGAACGGAUUUCCUGGGGGGCAGCGGGACCGGUGGGCGGGCACAAAGGAGUGGGGUUAGAGGAGAUAUAUAGGGAAAAAAAAAUGGGCAGCUGAUUCUCCUGGGUGGCUUAGAGGUGAGAUACAGGAUCAGGUGGAUCAUUCUAAGCCACUUUCAGCUCCCCGAAGUGCUCCGAAGGGGCCGGUAGAGCCUGGAGCCGAAAAGCAUCCCUAGAGAACAGCAAAGUUCUGGAACCUUCCCGACUUCCCAGCUCUCCUCAGAGAGGAACUCAUCUCUCCUCACCUCCCUGUCUGCCCCUCUACCUCCUUUCGCAGGGAUUUGCAGCCUCAUGAGCUUCUGUGGCCGAAAUCACCUCUACCGCUAUUACUAUUGACGCUAAUAGUGUUUGCUAAGCCCUUAUUUUGCGCCCGGGACUGAACUAAGCACUGGGGUUAGAGAAAAGAAAAAUCGGGAUGGAUAGAGUUCCUGUCACACGUGAGCCUCACGGUCUAAGUAGGAGGAAGAACGGUCAUUGGCUCCCCGUUUUCAC